AGUGGCGGACGGGUGAGUAACGCGUGAGAAUCUGCCUUGGGGUCGGGGACAACCACUGGAAACGGUGGCUAAUACCGGAUAAGCCGAUUGGUGAAAGAUUUAUUGCCCGAAGAGGAGCUCGCGUCUGAUUAGCUAGUUGGUGAGGUAAGAGCUCACCAAGGCAGCGAUCAGUAGCUGGUCUGAGAGGACGAUCAGCCACACUGGGACUGAGACACGGCCCAGACUCCUACGGGAGGCAGCAGUGGGGAAUUUUCCGCAAUGGGCGAAAGCCUGACGGAGCAAGACCGCGUGAGGGAGGAAGGCUCUUGGGUUGUAAACCUCUUUUCUCAGGGAAGAAGCUCUGACGGUACCUGAGGAAUCAGCCUCGGCUAACUCCGUGCCAGCAGCCGCGGUAAUACGGAGGAGGCAAGCGUUAUCCGGAAUUAUUGGGCGUAAAGCGUCCGCAGGUGGCGAUUCAAGUCUGCUGUCAAAGCACGGGGCUUAACUCCGUAAAGGCAGUGGAAACUGAAUAGCUAGAGUGCCGUAGGGGUAGAGGGAAUUCCCGGUGUAGCGGUGAAAUGCGUAGAGAUCGGGAAGAACAUCGGUGGCGAAAGCGCUCUACUGGACGGCAACUGACACUCAGGGACGAAAACUAGGGGAGCGAAUGGGAUUAGAUACCCC
Molecule: ribosomal RNA, 660 nt
Filed under: uncultured bacterium
Lineage: Bacteria
Description: bacterial SSU rRNA
Rfam family: Bacterial small subunit ribosomal RNA
Source: RNAcentral